Molecule: ribosomal RNA, 378 nt
Filed under: uncultured eukaryote
Lineage: Eukaryota
Description: partial 18S ribosomal RNA
Rfam family: Eukaryotic small subunit ribosomal RNA
Source: RNAcentral
CAAUAGCGUAUAUUUAAGUUGUUGCAGUUAAAAAGCUCGUAGUUGGAUUUCGGGUGGGACGCAGCGGUCUCGCAUUGCGUUUGUACUGCUGCAGCCCUCCUUCUUGCCGGGGGCGGCCUCUCGGACUUCACUGUCUGGGGGUCAGAAUCGGCGAUGUUACUUUGAGUAAAUUAGAGUGUUCAAAGCAAGCUUACGCUCUGAAUAUAAUAGCAUGGGAUAACACGACAGGACUCUGGCCUAUCGUGUUGGUCUAUAGGACCAGAGUAAUGAUUAAGAGGGACAGUCGGGGGCAUGCGUAUUCCGUUGUCAGAGGUGAAAUUCUUGGAUUUACGGAAGACGAACAUCUGCGAAAGCAUUUGCCAAGGAUGUUUUCAUUGA